GAUGAACGCUAGCUACAGGCCUAACACAUGCAAGUCGAGGGGCAUCGGGAGGGAAGCUUGCUUCCCUUGCCGGCGACCGGCGCACGGGUGAGUAACGCGUAUCGAACCUGCCCCAUACCCGGGGAUAGCCUUGCGAAAGUAAGAUUAAUACCCGAUGGCUUCCUUUUAUCUCCUGAUAGAGGGAAUAAAGAAUUUCGGUAUGGGAUGGCGAUGCGUCCGAUUAGCUGGUUGGCGGGGUAACGGCCCACCAAGGCGACGAUCGGUAGGGGUUCUGAGAGGAAGGUCCCCCACAUUGGAACUGAGACACGGUCCAAACUCCUACGGGAGGCAGCAGUGAGGAAUAUUGGUCAAUGGACGGAAGUCUGAACCAGCCAAGUAGCGUGCAGGAAGACGGCCCUAUGGGUUGUAAAACUGCUUUUANGUGGGAAUAAAGUCAGGGACGUGUCCCUGUUUGCAUGUACCACAGGAAUAAGGACCGGCUAAAUUCCGCG
Molecule: ribosomal RNA, 491 nt
Filed under: uncultured bacterium
Lineage: Bacteria
Description: bacterial SSU rRNA
Rfam family: Bacterial small subunit ribosomal RNA
Source: RNAcentral